This 253-nucleotide ribosomal RNA is filed under the name uncultured bacterium. RNAcentral's name for it is "partial 16S ribosomal RNA". It matches the Rfam family "Bacterial small subunit ribosomal RNA", at positions 524 to 776 of the family's 1533-position model. The record is from RNAcentral.
UACGUAGGGCGCAAGCGUUGUCCGGAAUUAUUGGGCGUAAAGAGCUCGUAGGCGGUUUGUUGCGUCUGCUGUGAAAACCUAAGGCUCAACCUUGGGCUUGCAGUGGGUACGGGCAGACUAGAGUGCGGUAGGGGUGACUGGAAUUCCUGGUGUAGCGGUGGAAUGCGCAGAUAUCAGGAGGAACACCGAUGGCGAAGGCAGGUCACUGGGCCGCAACUGACGCUGAGGAGCGAAAGCCAGGGGAGCAAACGGG